UAUAAAUCGAUGAUCAGGAAUAGUAAUGGGUAUGCCAUUUAUAGAGAACUCAUGGCUGGUGGAAAUGAGUAAUGGAUAACUGUGAACUCACCUGUAAGAUGCUUAGGUGAUAAGCUUAAGUCGUUUACUCGCGUUAAGAGGCUAAGAGCAUGAAUUUUGUCUUCAUGAACUAAGGUGGUACCGCGCUAGUCGUCCUUAGA
This 200-nucleotide non-coding RNA is filed under the name Sharpea azabuensis. RNAcentral describes it as "T-box sequence". It matches the Rfam family "T-box leader". Rfam says of the family: Uncharged tRNA acts as the effector for transcription antitermination of genes in the T-box leader family. T-boxes are found upstream of many aminoacyl-tRNA synthetase genes and some amino acid biosynthetic genes usually in Gram-positive bacteria. Lineage: Bacteria; Bacillati; Bacillota; Erysipelotrichia; Erysipelotrichales; Coprobacillaceae. The record is from RNAcentral.